Molecule: ribosomal RNA, 850 nt
Filed under: uncultured Zetaproteobacteria bacterium
Lineage: Bacteria; Pseudomonadati; Pseudomonadota; Candidatius Mariprofundia
Description: bacterial SSU rRNA
Rfam family: Bacterial small subunit ribosomal RNA
Source: RNAcentral
CGCUGGCGGCAUGCCUAACACAUGCAAGUCGAACGGUAACAGGUCUUCGGAUGCUGACGAGUGGCGCACGGGUGAGUAACGCGUGGAUAUCUGCCUAUGAGUGGGGGACAACUUUCGGAAACGAAAGCUAAUACCGCAUAAUCUCUACGGAGCAAAGCAGGGGACCUUUCGGGGCCUUGUGCUUAUAGAUGAGUCCGCGUCAGAUUAGCUAGUUGGUGGGGUAAGAGCCUACCAAGGCGAUGAUCUGUAGCUGGUUUGAGAGGAUGAUCAGUCACACUGGAACUGAGACACGGUCCAGACUCCUACGGGAGGCAGCAGUGGGGAAUUUUGCACAAUGGGGGAAACCCUGAUGCAGCGAUGCCGCGUGUGGGAAGAAGGCCUUUGGGUUGUAAACCACUUUCAAUUGGGAAGAAGGGAUGAGUAUUAAUAAUACUCUGACUUGACGGUACCUUUAGAAGAAGCACCGGCUAAUUUCGUGCCAGCAGCCGCGGUAAUACGAAAGGUGCAAGCGUUGUUCGGAUUUACUGGGCGUAAAGAGAUCGUAGGUGGUUUGUUAAGUUAGAUGUGAAAUCCCGGGGCUCAACCUCGGAACUGCAUCUAAAACUGGCAGACUUGAGUUCGGGAGGGGUAAGCGGAAUUCCGUGUGUAGCAGUGAAAUGCGUAGAUAUACGGAGGAACACCUGAGGCGAASGCGGCUUACUGGACCGAUACUGACACUGAGGAUCGAAAGCGUGGGUAGCAAACAGGAUUAGAUACCCUGGUAGUCCACGCCCUAAACGAUGUCAACUAGCCGUUGCGGGUAUCGACCCCUGCAGUGGCGCAGCUAACGCGAUAAGUUGACCGCCUGGGG